AAGCAGCAGCUACAACACUUCACAAAGGACAGAGAUUUUCAGUUGGCUCUUGUAAGCCAAGGUGUGGAUCAGCUUAGACAUCCAUCAGCAAAUGAGUGGAUAAAGAAAAUAUGCUCCAGAAAUAUGGUGGACUUCUAUCUACUCAUGAAGAAAAAUGAAACCAGGAUAUUUGAUAGAAAAGAAAAUUAUUAAAAAUAAAUGAGGAAAACCAGGUUCAGAUGAACAAAUGAGGCCAAUCAGCUUCUCCCUGCAGGAAGCUCCUUCUUGAAGAAAGUCCCCACUGGGUUCAUUGAUAUAAACCACCUCAUGGAAUGCUUCAGACAAGGAGCAGUAACAGCUGCCGGACUUGAUUAUCCCAAGGAAAUUCUUCUGAGCUGGGACUUCAGUAAUGUGCCUGUGACUCCUUUCUGCUUUUCUGAGCUAACACAGAAAGUAAGCUUUCUCCGGAGUCAGCUCGGAGCCCAGAUCAAAUUACACACAUCUGAAUCCACGUUGCCUACAUGUUAGUCAAUCACAUAAUCGCUGGGGGAAAAAAAUCCUGUGCAUUUUGGAGCAUAUAUUAUGCUCCUUCAAUGUCCAUUCAAGUACAUUACCACAUUCAGAUCAUCCAUCAGUGCCCCCAGGGGCAGCAAGAGGCAAUUUUAUUCCCAGGUGCCAGAAGGAAAACAUGUUCAGAGUGAUUAAAUACAUUACCCAGGGUUAGAUAGUUACCAUUUUCUUGGCUGUGAUUUUUUUUUUUUUUGAAGCCUGGAAACUAAGUAGUCCAGACUUAAAAGAACAAAAAACAAUUAUUAGUAGUCACGAUGAAUAUGUACUGUGGGUCAAGAAGACUUGAUGCUUAAUACAGCACAUCAGCCAUGCAACAAACCUUCCAUAAUCAACUGACAAAGGAAGUUGUCUGCUUCGUUUAUUUGGUCAAUAAAUAAAACUCGCUUUUUUAUCACAUUAGUCUCCGGCAGGCUCCUAUGACAGGCAUGUUAUACUCUAGUCAGUUAGAACCCUGAAAAGGGGCAAGCCCAUUGUACUGAUGGUGCUUCUUAACCACUGAGCAAGAACUACUCACAUAUGCCACAAAGAAGUUCACUUUUCAAACACGGAGGAAGAUUCUGAUGUUCAUUGACACAGCAUUUCAUUUCCCUGGAUCUUGGUUUCAACAUCUAUUAAACAGGAUACAUGUUAUCAACUUCUCAGAGUGGCUAUGGCCGUUAAUCUUGUACAGUAGGUAAAUAAACACCUGAAAGGAGGGGAAAUUGAAUAUUGCUUUCAAAUACUGUUGUGCUGAAAUAAAAGAUGUUCCAUAUGCCCAAACCAUAGCAAUGAGGAUAAGUCGGGUACAAUACGAAACUCUUUGGAGUUUCUAUGUAACUAUGUAACUGAAAUAGGCCUGAACUCAAUGUAUAUCACAGGCUCUCCUCAAAUUUGUGACUCUCCUGCCUCAGUCUCCUAAGUGCUGGUGUUAUGGAUGUAUGCCAACAUUCACAGCUUGAUAAUUCUUAUUAACCUAGUAAUUCAAAUUCAACAAGCCUGGAAGUCAUAAGUACGCCAAAUAAGUACUGCUGCCUUUCCAAGACUCCUCCCUUGGGAGAUGCUGUAUUUAGAUUUGUGAUGCUUAAAAACAUCUCCAGAAAUAGAAUUUACUUUCAGAACCAAUUACAAAGUCCUCAAAAAAAAAAAAAAACAAAACAAUUUCGUAUCUUAAUGAUUGCACUUCAAUUUUAAUUCAAAAUGUAUGGACCAGCCCAACCACUCAUUCAUUUGACUAGGAUUUAAAUGUGGUCUGACUCUUCCCAAACACCUAGUCUAUUGUGAUGUAAAGCCAGUCCAAACGAAUGCAUCUGAGCCAGGCCAUCUGUCUCUUACUUCAGAGACGAUACACAUACAUGCCUGUGUUCUUGAAUAGCAAUUGUUAAGUCAAUAUGCUGUUUUCAAUGCUAUUUUUAUUAAUGCUUUAAGUUAGUAUAUGAGAUUAUAAUUUUCAAUGUGCCAUUUUCAUGCCUAUAUCAUUAUACUUUAUUCUAUUUUUAGGUAUUUUUUGCUUAUGUAUGUGUAUGGUGCACAACCUAUGUGUAUAUACGUGUAUGUGUGUGAAGGCCAGAGAUUGACAAUGGGUGUCGUCUUCAAUUAUACUUCACUUUAUUGGUUGAGACAGGGACUCUCCCUGAACCCAGAACUGUGUGGUCCCAGCUAUUAUAGCUAGCUAGUUUGUCGCAGGAAUUCCUUGUCUCUGCUUUUGUGCUGGUGGGGAUUAUAGGCAGCUGCUCAGACUCCUUAAUUUUUAAGUGGGUUCUGUGGAUCUAAACUGUGGCUUUCACACUUGUGUUGCUCACAUUUUAAUUUUUUAAUUUAUUUUUAUUUUUUCUUGUUUUCUUUUUUCUUUUUUUCAUUAUCUUUUUCUUAUUAGAUAUUUUUGUUAUUUACAUUUCAAAUGUUAGCCCCUUUUAUUGUUUCCCUUCCGAAAACCCCCUUCCCUUCCCCCUCCCCCUGCUCACCAACCUGCCCACUCCUGCUUCCCUGUCCUGGCAUACCCCUA
Long non-coding RNA from Mus pahari (shrew mouse), 2530 nucleotides. RefSeq lists it as uncharacterized. The record is from RefSeq and is a predicted model, not a curated record. NCBI's taxonomy places the organism in Eukaryota, Metazoa, Chordata, Mammalia, Rodentia, Muridae. The transcript has 3 exons.